Molecule: ribosomal RNA, 476 nt
Filed under: uncultured bacterium
Lineage: Bacteria
Description: partial 16S ribosomal RNA
Rfam family: Bacterial small subunit ribosomal RNA
Source: RNAcentral
GACGAACGCUGGCGGCGUGCUUAACACAUGCAAGUCGAACGGUAAGGCCUUCGGGUACACGAGUGGCGAACGGGUGAGUAACACGUGGGUGAUCUGCCCUGCACUUUGGGAUAAGCCUGGGAAACUGGGUCUAAUACCGGAUAGGACCAAGGCCUGCAUGGGUUGUGGUGGACAGCUUUUGCGGUGUGGGAUGGGCCCGCGGCUUAUUAGCUUGUUGGUGGGGUGAUGGCCUACCAAGGUGACGCCGGGUAGCUGGCCUGAGAGGGUGUCCGGCCACACUGGGUCUGAGAUACGGCCCAGACUCCUACGGGAAGCAGCAGUGGGGAAUAUUGCACAAUGGGCGCAAGCCUGAUGCAGCGACGCAGCGUGGGGGAUGACAGCCUUCGGGUUGUAAACCUCUUUCAAUAGGGACGAAGCGUUAGUGACGGUACCUAUAGAAGCAGCACCGGCCAACUACGUGCCAGCAGCCGCGGUAA